ACACGGGAGAACUCAAAUUUCAAAAUGAGUGAAAUGAAGGCAUACAGGGUGGAACUAACACCAUUUAAAAAACCACUAGUACAGAUCGUAGGUACAUGGGAAACUGAGAGUUCCAUCACCUUUUCAAGAUAAUGUAAUUAGAAAACAGAUUCAUUAUAUGUUAUUGUGCUUGUACAACCUAAAAAAAGUUGAGUUGAGUGCUAUUUCUAAACAGAUUGCUGUACAAAGCCAAAGCAACUAACUAGUGGCAUUGUAUUCAUUUUGAAACAGAUUGAAAAACAAUAACUUACAACCGAAUAGAAAUCUCCUCACAUCUACGGAACACGGGUUGAAGUUGGACAUUAAAAACUCACUUCAUCUUUAAGAGAAUCAGAAUUUAAUUGUAAUUUUAUCAGAAUUUAAUUGUAGUUUUUUCAGAAUGAGAUCGUCAUUGGACAAUAAUUUUACUACCAAGGCAGUAGUAGUAGCAUCUGCAGAGAAUCCCUUACCA
This 490-nucleotide unclassified non-coding RNA is filed under the name Hevea brasiliensis (rubber tree). Lineage: Eukaryota; Viridiplantae; Streptophyta; Magnoliopsida; Malpighiales; Euphorbiaceae. The record is from RNAcentral.